RNAcentral lists this ribosomal RNA (576 nucleotides) under Comatula solaris. Its description in RNAcentral is "partial 16S ribosomal RNA". It matches the Rfam family "Bacterial large subunit ribosomal RNA", at positions 1814 to 2603 of the family's 2925-position model. Lineage: Eukaryota; Metazoa; Echinodermata; Crinoidea; Comatulida; Comatulidae. The record is from RNAcentral.
CAUCGCUCUUUGUAAAACCACCAUAUAAAUAAAGAGUACUGCCUGCCCAGUGAAUAAAAUUUUUAACGGCCGCGGUAUCUUGACCGUGCUAAGGUAGCAUAAUAAUUUGCUCUUUAAUUGAGGGCUAGAAUGAAAGGCAAGACGAAGGCAAAACUGUCUCCCUAUUUAAAAAAGAAAUUAGUAUUCUAGUGAAGAAACUAAAAUAAAAACGCAAGACGAGAAGACCCUGUCGAGCUUAAGAAAAUUUUUAUAUUUAUAUAAUAAAAGUAAGCUAAUAUAUCUUAAAUUUAUACUUUCAAUUUUUAAAAAAUAAAAAUAUCUUUGGUUGGGGCAACCACGAAGAAAAUAAAACCUUCGAUUUUUAAUAAAAAUUUACAAAUUUAAUAUUUUUAAAAAUUUAUAAAUUGAUCCGGAAUUUCCGAACAAAGAAAAAAGUUACCGCAGGGAUAACAGCGUUAUUCUCUUUAAGAGCCCAUAUUGACAAGAGAGUUUGCGACCUCGAUGUUGGACCGGGGCAUCCUAGAAAUGCAGAAGUUUCUAAAGGUAGGUCUGUUCGACCUUUAAAGCCCUACGUGA